Long non-coding RNA from Sciurus carolinensis (gray squirrel), 1404 nucleotides. RefSeq lists it as uncharacterized. The record is from RefSeq and is a predicted model, not a curated record. The transcript is spliced from 2 exons. Lineage: Eukaryota; Metazoa; Chordata; Mammalia; Rodentia; Sciuridae.
GCAGGGAAGGCCCGAAAGCGGAAGAAGGGCAGGCAAAGCUGUGGCGGUUAGUCGAAGUAACCCGGUAGGUCUCGGUAGCCUCGGCUAUCAUCCCACCCGAGUGGCUCCCGCCUUGGAGCGCGUGACUUUCUCCUCGGCCUGACUCCGAGAGACCCAGCAGCAUCUGCACCCAGGUCUGGUUUCAACGAUCAUGAACCUCAAGUUUCAGGAUGAAGUUAUUUGCCUGAAGUCAUACCUCUGGCUAAACAGCAACCCAGGAGUAUUUACAGAGGAAAACAUUAAUCUGUGACUCCAACCCUAGAGCCACUUUCUUCUGGUGGUUACCUAGAUUACCUAUAAUGUGUUUCUGUGGCUAUUUUUUUUUUUUUAAAUGUUUAUUAGUUGUUGAUGAACCUUUAUUUUUAUGUGGUGCCAAGAAUCAAACCCAGUGCCUCACAUGCUAGGCAAGCACUUAACACUAAGCCACAACCCUAGCCUUUGUGGCUGUUUCUUGAUUGACCAUUUUGGAGCUUAUCCAUUUACUUAGUCAUCACCAGUGGACAUGCAGUUUCCAUUUUUACUUUCUCUCUUGGUUUCAUCUAACUUAAAACACUCCAUCCCUUGUAACCUUCCACCUCUCUUUCUAGUUAUCUUUAUACCUUUGUAUUAUUAAACAGAAUGUUUAAUUAUGGUCCCAGAACUGUACUUCCUGGGACCAUAAUUAAGCCCAUGGGUUGCUACUUGAAGGAGAAUGGCUGUUUAUGUUCUGCCUUGGUAAACACUACGUCUUGGAAAGGAAUGACACUGAUUACAUUGCCUAUAUUUUAAUUUUUGUGUUUUUGGCGGUACUGGGCAUUGAACCCAGGGCUGCUUUACCACUGAGCUACAUCUGCAGCCCUUUUUAUUCAAACAGGGUCUUGCUAAAUUGCUGAAGUUGGUCUAGAACUUAACCUUCUGCCUCAGCCUCCCAAGUAGCUGAGAUUACAGAAUUGUGCCACUGUGCCCAGCCAUUGCACUAAUUUUUGUUCUCUCUAAAGAUUUUUCUUGUGAUUAGCCUAUAUCAUAAAUUUGGUUUCUUUUAUAUUUCAUCAAAUCAGUCCUCUGACAACUUCAUUGUCCCAGGAUCUUUCCUGAAUUCUCUAAUCUGGCUGUAUGGCUGCUCUAGUUGUCUGGGAACCUCUCUUUUUUGACAGAACCCUGAUCCUGGCACCCACUUUACCCUUCCAACUCUACCCUCAAAAAGACAGCAGUAGUGCUCACUUCAGUAGUACAUAUACUACAAGUGAAAGAUUAGAGAAAAUUAGCAUGGCCCCUGCACAAGGAUCACACACAAAUUCCCCAAGCAUUCCAUUAAAAAAAAAAAAAAAAAAAAGACAGCAGUAGUCAUAGGAGGGUAAUUUGAUAUUCAGUACAAAUGUUUAUUUU